CCAAUAGCGUAUAUUAAAGUUGUUGCAGUUAAAAAGCUCGUAGUUGAAUUUCGGGAUCAAUAUAUCGGUCGUGCCUUGGUACGUACUGGUAUCAUUGGUUUCUCCUUUCUGACGAACCAUGAUGUCAUUAAUUUGGUGUUAUGGGAAGUUAGGACUGUUACUUUGAAAAAAUUAGAGUGUUUAAAGCAGGCCUUAGCUUGAAUACAUUAGCAUGGAAUAAUGAAAUAGGACGUUCGAACCUAUUUUGUUGGUUUCCAGGAUCAACGUAAUGAUUAAUAGGGAUAGUUGGGGGCAUUAGUAUUCAAUUGUCAGAGGUGAAAUUCUUGGAUUUAUUGAAGACUAACUACUGCGAAAGCAUUUGCCAAGGAUGUUUUCAUUAAUCAAGAACGAAAGUUAGGGGAUCGAAGACGAUCAGAUACCGUCGUAGUCUUAACCAUAAACUAUGCCGACUAGGGAUCGGAUGAUGUUAAUUUUUUAAUGACUCAUUCGGCGCCUUACG
RNAcentral lists this ribosomal RNA (499 nucleotides) under uncultured Glomeromycotina. RNAcentral's name for it is "partial small subunit ribosomal RNA". It matches the Rfam family "Eukaryotic small subunit ribosomal RNA", at positions 591 to 1092 of the family's 1831-position model. Lineage: Eukaryota; Fungi; Glomeromycota. The record is from RNAcentral.